CAAUUCCAUGGGAAAGGUUUUUAGAUUUUUUUGUUGCCAUUUAGUAGUACCCCAUAUGCAGAAAGUGUGUCCCUAUUUGCUGUGUCCUUAUCUCUAACUUUGAGUUAACUUGAACUUUAUAUCUGGAAGUUAGGUCCAACUAAGUCUUACCUACCAAGUGAUUGGAAACUGUGGCAGAACAGGCUUUUCUGUAGGAUUCUCCUUCCUGCUCAUGUGCAAGCUAUUCAGGAUGUCUCGAAGUUUGAAACACGAUGAACCUGAAACAAAGCUGGCAAACUGGUAUAAGAGAGAAGGCAAGGGGGCCGGCCC
Ceratotherium simum simum (southern white rhinoceros) is the source of this 309-nucleotide non-coding RNA. The record is from RefSeq and is a predicted model, not a curated record. Lineage: Eukaryota; Metazoa; Chordata; Mammalia; Perissodactyla; Rhinocerotidae.